GAUGAACGCUGGCGGCGUGCUUAACACAUGCAAGUCGAACGGAAAGGCCCAAGCUUGCUUGGGUACUCGAGUGGCGAACGGGUGAGUAACACGUGGGUGAUCUGCCCUGCACUUCGGGAUAAGCCUGGGAAACUGGGUCUAAUACCGGAUAGGACCACUUCUUGGAUGUUGUGGUGGAAAGUUUUUUCGGUGUGGGAUGAGCUCGCGGCCUAUCAGCUUGUUGGUGGGGUAAUGGCCUACCAAGGCGUCGACGGGUAGCCGGCCGGGGAGGGGGUACGGCCACAUUGGGACUGAGAGACGGCCCAGACUCCUACGGGAGGCAGCAGUGGGGAAUAUUGCACAAUGGGCGCAAGCCUGAUGCAGCGACGCCGCGUGGGGGAUGACGGCCUUCGGGUUGUAAACUCCUUUCGCUAGGGACGAAGCGUUUUGUGACGGUACCUGGAGAAGAAGCACCGGCUAACUACGUG
This 467-nucleotide ribosomal RNA is filed under the name uncultured bacterium. RNAcentral's name for it is "partial 16S ribosomal RNA". It matches the Rfam family "Bacterial small subunit ribosomal RNA", at positions 28 to 507 of the family's 1533-position model. The record is from RNAcentral.